GAUGAACGCUGGCGGCGUGCCUAAUACAUGCAAGUCGAGCGAACGGACGAGAAGCUUGCUUCUCUGAUGUUAGCGGCGGACGGGUGAGUAACACGUGGAUAACCUACCUAUAAGACUGGGAUAACUUCGGGAAACCGGAGCUAAUACCGGAUAAUAUUUUGAACCGCAUGGUUCAAAAGUGAAAGACGGUCUUGCUGUCACUUAUAGAUGGAUCCGCGCUGCAUUAGCUAGUUGGUAAGGUAACGGCUUACCAAGGCAACGAGGCAUAGCCGACCUGAGAGGGUGGUCGGCCACACUAGAACUGAGCCACGGUCCAGACUCCUACGGGAGGCAGCAGUAGGGAAUCUUCCGCAAUGGGCGGAAGCCUGACGGAGCAACGCCGCGUGAGUGAUGAAGGUCUUCGGAUCGUAAUACUCUGUUAUUAGGGAAGAACAUAUGUGUAAGUAACUGUGCACAUCUUGACGGUACCUAAUCAGAAAGCCACGGCUAACUACGUG
RNAcentral lists this ribosomal RNA (497 nucleotides) under uncultured bacterium. Its description in RNAcentral is "partial 16S ribosomal RNA". It matches the Rfam family "Bacterial small subunit ribosomal RNA", at positions 28 to 507 of the family's 1533-position model. The record is from RNAcentral.